This 324-nucleotide ribosomal RNA is filed under the name uncultured eukaryote. RNAcentral's name for it is "partial 18S ribosomal RNA". It matches the Rfam family "Eukaryotic small subunit ribosomal RNA", at positions 1470 to 1796 of the family's 1831-position model. The record is from RNAcentral.
CCCUUAGAUGUUCUGGGCUGCAUGCGCGCUACACUGAAGCUAUCAACACGUUUUCCCUCCCUGAGAAGGGCGGGUAACCUUCUGAAUCAGCUUCGUGGUAGGGAUCGGGGCUUGCAAUUGUUCCCCGUGAACCAGGAAUUCCUAGUAGACGCGAGUCAUAAGCUCGCAUCGAUUAAGUCCCUGCCCUUUGUACACACCGCCCGUCGCUACUACCGAUUGAACGUUUUAGUGAGGCAUUUGGACCGACGCAUCUCAGUUUAACCGCUGGUUUGUGUUGGAAAGACUUCCAAACUUGAGCGUUUAGAGGAAGUAAAAGUCGUAACA